AGGCGAUGAUGAAUGCUCUGUGCUUUCCUAGAAGGUCUCGUUCGUCGUAAUGGCUACUUUUUAGCCUUGCCGACCAUCCUGAUAUAUCACCACCCAUAUUCUGAGUCC
This 108-nucleotide small nucleolar RNA is filed under the name Ananas comosus (pineapple). RNAcentral describes it as "Small nucleolar RNA Z43". It matches the Rfam family "Small nucleolar RNA Z43". From Rfam's summary of the family: Z43 is a member of the C/D class of snoRNA which contain the C (UGAUGA) and D (CUGA) box motifs. Most of the members of the box C/D family function in directing site-specific 2'-O-methylation of substrate RNAs. Lineage: Eukaryota; Viridiplantae; Streptophyta; Magnoliopsida; Poales; Bromeliaceae. The record is from Rfam by way of RNAcentral.